Molecule: ribosomal RNA, 512 nt
Filed under: uncultured cyanobacterium
Lineage: Bacteria; Bacillati; Cyanobacteriota
Also listed under: 1 other name
Description: bacterial SSU rRNA
Rfam family: Bacterial small subunit ribosomal RNA
Source: RNAcentral
UCUACGGUAGCAGCAGUGCGCGUAUCGCAUGGGCGCAGCGUGACGCGCAUACCGCGUGAGGAGUAGGCUCUUGGGUCGUAACUCGUAUCUCAGGAAGAGACAAUGACGUACAUGAGAAUCAGCAUCGGCUAACUCCGUGCCAGCAGCCGCGGUAAUACGGAGGAUGCAAGCGUUAUCCGGAAUCAUUGGGCGUAAAGCGUCCGCAGGUGGCUGUUCAAGUCUGCCGUCAAAGCCCGGGGCUCAACCCUGGAGAGGCAGUGGAAACUGAGCAGCUGGAGUGCGGUAGGGGCAGAGGGAAUUCCCGGUGUAGCGGUGAAAUGCGUAGAGAUCGGGAAGAACACCGGUGGCGAAAGCGCUCUGCUGGACCGCAACUGACACUCAGGGACGAAAGCUAGGGGAGCGAAUGGGAUUAGAUACCCCAGUAGUCCUAGCCGUAAACGAUGGACACUAGGUGUGGCGCGUAUCGACCCGGCAGUGCCGUAGCUAACGCGUAAGUUGCCGCGUGGAUACGA